RNAcentral lists this long non-coding RNA (2584 nucleotides) under Marmota monax (woodchuck). Lineage: Eukaryota; Metazoa; Chordata; Mammalia; Rodentia; Sciuridae. The record is from RNAcentral.
CAGGAGUCCGGUUGUGAGGGGUGGGGGGAAAGCGCUCAUUCUAUGUGGGGACCAGAGGAAGGUCGGCUUCUCACUGUAAGAGGGGACAUGUGUCUGGGUCCCUGAGCCAGCCAGGGAAUCCCCUUCUAGGCUGUUCUUCGUCCAGCUGGACUCAAGGCGCCCCCUGAAGGCCCAGGGGUCGGACAGCGUCCACCUGCAGAGCUGAGACUCCUAGCCGAGAGCCCCACCUGACCCAAGAUGGUCACGCGGGACCUGGGGAUUCUGUAUUCCUCAAUAGCGUUUGCAGAGUUUGUAGGUUUCAGGAGUAGCCUCCUUGUAGCCUCGGUUUCCCCCUCUGCCGCCCUGCUGGCUGGUGCCCCGCAGCCUUGAAUGGGAGGAACCCCUGCUGUGCACCGCCUCCAUCUUCCCCGCACCCCGCCUCUGCUGCAGCGGAUGGCCUUUAAUAACGUCUGGAAAGUGACACGCGAUUUAUUAUUAAAGUAAUGCGGGCGCAGGGACGGUAAAGGUUUAAUAAACGCGCUGAGAUGCCGAGGAUUAUUCACCGCAAAUAAAUGAGAGAGCGGGUGGUGUUUUAAUAAAUAAUUUCCCGGGGCUCCCAGGGGAGGAGAGGGGAGGAGGAUGGGGGGAAGCUGAGCGACUGCGGGAACUCCUGGCUUCGCCUCCCCAUGGGUUUCCAAGCCUUCUUGCAUUUUCCUUCCUAGGUUGCUCACACCUAGAUGUUGAGGUUCCAGGAGAGUGCACUCUCCUAGAGUAGCCCAAGACUGGAGGCGGGAGGGGCUGUACUUGCCCCACAUACAAGAUUUUAAGUAGUUUGCUUCAGAUAAAGCUAACAUCUUCCUUUCAGCAUCCACCCAGAGAUGGGAAUCAAGACCUGAAAGGAGCAGGCAGGGUUAAUAGCAACUAGUCCUGUCUCUGGCCUCCCUGCUUUUGGCUUUUUUGGGCUAGGUGUCCAACUCUCCCUCAUCUAAGGCAGGCUAUGAGGAGUAAGCCAAAAGGGGCUAUAUGUACAAGUAUGAAAAUGACACGUUUUUGCAAAUGACCCUGACUCUGGUUCUGUCCUUGGACCAUCGGGGAAUGGGGCCACUGCUCUGGCUGCUUCCUACUGCAGACUCUAAGAAUCCUCAGCUGUCCUGGUCUGAAAUGAAGGUGUUUGGGCUUAGCUCCAUCCUUGGCUUGCUGGUGACAGAUUCAAAUUGAGGAUUGGGCAGAACUAGAGCCCCAACAGGGAGUAGACAUCUUGGAAGGAAGUCUGGAGUCCCAAGAGGAGGAGCCUGACUUUGGAGAGGCCAGAAUUGCAGAUUUUUGGGACUGAGGUCGCACUUAUAAGGCUGCUGGUGGUGGAGGGGGAGCUUAAGUUACAUCUGACUUUGCAUAUUUUGUAUCUUGGAGGAAAAAAGCGACAUCUCUGGCAACACUUGGGAGUAUAGGAAGUAGGGAAAAAGUGCCAUCUGGUGGAUAUUUCUGGCAGUGUCCUUCAGGCCCCGGUCAGGGUCCUUGAGACAAUUUUUAUUUGUUUGGAAGCAUCUGUGUAAAAAGGUGCUACUAUAUGUCUUCAUUUAGCGUGGACACAUAUGUAGUAUAUAUGUGAUGUCUACAUUUACCUGUGUAAACUAUAAAUUAUUAUGUUUAUAGUGGUUGUUUGCAUAUGUGUUUUUAUAUGUACAUUAUGUAAACUGUAUAAAUUAUGUAGGUAUAUCACAAUGUUAUGUAUGUGGAUUAUAUAAAUGCAUAUAUAAGUAUGCAGAUAUCACAUAGGUGUAUUUAUGAUGUGUCAACGUAAACAUUGUAUAUAUUAAUGCUUUUUUUUUUUUUUUUUGGCAAUACUAGAUGGAACCCAGAGGUGCUCUUCCAGUGAGCUACAUACCCAACCCCCCCUUUUUUGUGGUGCUGGGGAUUGAACCCAGGGCCUUGUGCAUUCAAGGCAAGCACUGUACCAACUGAUCUAUAUCCCCAACCCUAAUAUUAUUUAUUUAUUUGUUUAUUUUUAUACUGCAGAUUGAACUCAGGGAAACUCAAACCACCGAGCCACAUCCCCAGCCUCAUUUUGUAUUUUAUUUAAAGAUAGGGUGUUAGGGAGUUGCUUAGCACUUCACCAUUGCUGAGGCUGUCUUUGAACUUGCAAUCCUUCUGUCUCAGCUGCCAGGUCACUGGGAUUAUAGAUGUGCACCACUGCACCCAGUCCUAAUACUUUUUUAAUUUUUAUUUUGAGAUGGGGGUCUUGCUAAAUCACUGAGGCUAGCUUCAAACUUGCGAUUCUCCUGCCUCAGCUUCCCAAGUAGCUGGGGAUAACAGGCAUGCACCAUCACUACCAGCUUGUAUAUAUUAUUAUAUGUAUUUGUAUAUACAUUUACUUACAAGUAUAUGUUCCAUAUGUGUCAGUCUUUCUACAAACAUUUAUGUAUUAGCACUGUUGUAGGGUCAGGGCUACACCAUGGGGAGAAAAUUGUCCCUACAUCAUGGAGCACACAUUCCAGUUGUGUUUAUGAAUAUAUGUGCACUUUAAUUAAUUAUAUAUGGAUAUAUUUGCAGGUUUAUGGGCACAUGCAUAUGUAACAAUGUCCACCUGUGUAGGUAUGAGGGGCAG